ACACUGCAAGUCGAGCGCAUGAAGGGAGCUUGCUCCCGGAUUCAGCGGCGGACGGGUGAGUAAUGCCUACGAAUCUGCCUGGUAGUGGGGGACAACGUUUCGAAAGGAACGCUAAUACCGCAUACGUCCUACGGGAGAAAGCAGGGGACCUUCGGGCCUUGCGCUAUCAGAUGAGCCUAGGUCGGAUUAGCUAGUUGGUGAGGUAAUGGCUCACCAAGGCGACGAUCCGUAACUGGUCUGAGAGGAUGAUCAGUCACACUGGAACUGAGACACGGUCCAGACUCCUACGGGAGGCAGCAGUGGGGAAUAUUGGACAAUGGGCGAAAGCCUGAUCCAGCCAUGCCGCGUGUGUGAAGAAGGUCUUCGGAUUGUAAAGCACUUUAAGUUGGGAGGAAGGGUUGUAGAUUAAUACUCUGCAAUUUUGACGUUACCGACAGAAUAAGCACCGGCUAACUCUGUGCCAGCAGCCGCGGUAAUACAGAGGGUGCAAGCGUUAAUCGGAAUUACUGGGCGUAAAGCGCGCGUAGGUGGUUCGUUAAGUUGGAUGUGAAAUCCCCGGGCUCAACCUGGGAACUGCAUCCAAAACUGGCGAGCUANAGUAUGGUAGAGGGUGGUGGAAUUUCCUGUGUAGCGGUGAAAUGCGUAUAUAUAGGAAGGAACACCAGUGGCGAAGGCGACCACCUGGACUGAUACUGACACUG
This 701-nucleotide ribosomal RNA is filed under the name Pseudomonas sp. Ms120. Its description in RNAcentral is "bacterial SSU rRNA". It matches the Rfam family "Bacterial small subunit ribosomal RNA", at positions 51 to 748 of the family's 1533-position model. Lineage: Bacteria; Pseudomonadati; Pseudomonadota; Gammaproteobacteria; Pseudomonadales; Pseudomonadaceae. The record is from RNAcentral.